CCUACGGGUGGCAGCAGUGGGGAAUAUUGGGCAAUGGGCGCAAGCCUGACCCAGCAACGCCGCGUGAAGGAAGAAGGCUCUCGGGUUGUAAACUUCUUUUUAGCGGGAAGAGCAGAAGACGGUACCUCUUGAAUAAGCCACGGCGAACUACGUGCCAGCAGCCGCGGUAAUACGUAGGUGGCAAGGGGUUUCCGGAUUUACUGGGGGUAAAGGGCGUGCAGCCGGGAAGACAAGGCAGGUGUGAAAUCCCGCGGCUUAACCGAGGAACUGCGUUUGAAACUGUUUUUCUUGAGUACCGGAGAGGUCAGCGGAAUGCGUUGUGUAGCGGUGAAAUGCGUAGAUAUAAGGAAGAACACCAGUGGCGAAGGCGGAUGACUGGACGGCAACUGACGGUGAGGCGCGAAAGCGUGGGGAGCAAACAGGAUUAGAUACCCCUGUAGUC
Molecule: ribosomal RNA, 442 nt
Filed under: uncultured bacterium
Lineage: Bacteria
Description: partial 16S ribosomal RNA
Rfam family: Bacterial small subunit ribosomal RNA
Source: RNAcentral